UUUCCGUAGGUGAACCUGCGGAAGGAUCAUUAUCCAUUUCAUCCAAAUCUCGGGGGUGCGCUCGCGCGCGCUCCCUUUCGACCCUCUCUUUUGCUGGGUUGCGCAACUGUUUUCUCGGAACUGUUCUCGGGGCUGGUGGUCUCGCACACCCAGUUCCCCCUUUUUUCCAUCUCACACAACCCAUUUUUACCCAACCGCCUUAACUGUUUCCACAUAUGCCAAAACCGCGUACAACUCUUAGCGACGGAUAUCUUGGUUCUC
RNAcentral lists this unclassified non-coding RNA (261 nucleotides) under soil metagenome. Its description in RNAcentral is "partial contains small subunit ribosomal RNA, internal transcribed spacer 1, and 5.8S ribosomal RNA". The record is from RNAcentral.